CAUGCAAGUCGAGGGGAAACGACAUCGAAAGCUUGCUUUUGAUGGGCGUCGACCGGCGCACGGGUGAGUGACGCGUAUCCAACCUGCCCACCACUUGGGGAUAACCUUGCGAAAGUAAGACUAAUACCCAAUGACGUCUCUAGAAGACAUCUGAAAGAGAUUAAAGAUUUAUCGGUGAUGGAUGGGGAUGCGUCUGAUUAGCUUGUUGGCGGGGUAACGGCCCACCAAGGCGACGAUCAGUAGGGGUUCUGAGAGGAAGGUCCCCCACAUUGGAACUGAGACACGGUCCAAACUCCUACGGGAGGCAGCAGUGAGGAAUAUUGGUCAAUGGGCGAGAGCCUGAACCAGCCAAGUAGCGUGCAGGAUGACGGCCCUAUGGGUUGUAAACUGCUUUUAUAAGGGAAUAAAGUGAGUCUCGUGAGACUUUUUGCAUGUACCUUAUGAAUAAGGACCGGCUAAUUCCGUGCCAGCAGCCGCGGUAAUACGGAAGGUCCGGGCGUUAUCCGGAUUUAUUGGGUUUAAAGGGAGCGUAGGCCGGAGAUUAAGCGUGUUGUGAAAUGUAGACGCUCAACGUCUGCACUGCAGCGCGAACUGGUUUCCUUGAGUACGCACAAAGUGGGCGGAAUUCGUGGUGUAGCGGUGAAAUGCUUAGAUAUCACGAAGAACUCCGAUUGCGAAGGCAGCUCACUGGAGCGCAACUGACGCUGAAGCUCGAAAGUGCGGGUAUCGAACAGGAUUAGAUACCCUGGUAGUCCGCACGGUAAACGAUGGAUGCCCGCUGUUGGUCUGAAUAGGUCAGCGGCCAAGCGAAAGCAUUAAGCAUCCCACCUGGGGAGUACGCCGGCAACGGUGAAACUCAAAGGAAUUGACGGGGCCGCACA
This 881-nucleotide ribosomal RNA is filed under the name uncultured bacterium. RNAcentral describes it as "bacterial SSU rRNA". It matches the Rfam family "Bacterial small subunit ribosomal RNA", at positions 54 to 925 of the family's 1533-position model. The record is from RNAcentral.